GACGAACGCUGGCGGCGUGCCUAAUACAUGCAAGUAGAACGCUGAAGGAGGAGCUUGCUUCUCUGGAUGAGUUGCGAAAGGGUGAGUAACGCGUAGGUAACCUGCCUGGUAGCGGGGGAUAACUAUUGGAAACGAUAGCUAAUACCGCAUAAGAGUAGAUGUUGCAUGACAUUUGCUUAAAAGGUGCAAUUGCAUCACUACCAGAUGGACCUGCGUUGUAUUAGCUAGUUGGUGAGGUAACGGCUCACCAAGGCAACGAUACAUAGCCGACCUGAGAGGGUGAUCGGCCACACUGGGACUGAGACACGGCCCAGACUCCUACGGGAGGCAGCAGUAGGGAAUCUUCGGCAAUGGACGGAAGUCUGACCGAGCAACGCCGCGUGAGUGAAGAAGGUUUUCGGAUCGUAAAGCUCUGUUGUAAGAGAAGAACGAGUGUGAGAGUGGAAAGUUCACACUGUGACGGUAUCUUACCAGAAAGGGACGGCUAACUACGUG
This 495-nucleotide ribosomal RNA is filed under the name uncultured bacterium. Its description in RNAcentral is "partial 16S ribosomal RNA". It matches the Rfam family "Bacterial small subunit ribosomal RNA", at positions 28 to 507 of the family's 1533-position model. The record is from RNAcentral.